This 306-nucleotide ribosomal RNA is filed under the name Triticum aestivum (bread wheat). RNAcentral describes it as "partial small subunit ribosomal RNA". Lineage: Eukaryota; Viridiplantae; Streptophyta; Magnoliopsida; Poales; Poaceae. The record is from RNAcentral.
GUGGCUUCUGUUCGCCAUUGGUCCGUGUCUCAGCUUGAUGUGAAGAAUGCCUUUUUAAAUGGUGAGUUGCGCGAGGAGGUUUAUAUGCAACCGCCACCUGGGUAUUCUGUUCCUGAUGACAUGGUUUGUCGUCUUCGCCGCUCUCUUUAUGGCCUUAAGCAAGCCCCCCGUGCCUGGUUUGAGCGCUUCGCUUCUGUGGUGACUGCUGCUGGUUUUUCGCCCAGUGCUCAUGAUCCAGCAUUGUUUGUCCACCUUUCUGCUCGUGGUAGGACUCUUCUUCUUCUAUAUGUUGAUGGCAUGAUCAUC